AUCUAAUCUUCAGGACUACAUACGGGACACGUUGCCUUACGCAGGUUCUCUUUCGUCCUCCAUGUUUGAAGAAAACUAGAGGACAACAAUAUGAGAGACAAGUGGAGGAAGAAGCGUAUGCGAAGGUUAAAGCGUAAACGAAGAAAGAUGCGAGCAAGAUCUAAUUAAAUACAGACUCAGCAGAAUGGAUGGUGCCUGACCCAUGUUUAUAUCCUGUACCUGUGUGUGCUCAGACAGACAUGAUUGCUUUCAACCUAUGGAAUUACAACAGUGGACUUGAUUUGCUCCACCAACUGCAACAAGUUUUGCAUGAGAAGUUCCUGGAUUUUUAACAACACAAUCUCUAAUAUGGAACAUGUUGUUAGAGCAUCAAGAACAUGUUUUAAUCCAAUGGAUAUGGCUUGAUUACUUCUGAAUGCUGUGAUAGGUUCCAUCAUUGGGGACAAGGUCAUUUACCAUCCCUCUGUUGAAUUUUGUUUUCUUUUGACAAGCAUUCAUUAAAAGUAGCAUUUGCUCUA
Molecule: long non-coding RNA, 518 nt
Organism: Pocillopora damicornis (cauliflower coral)
Lineage: Eukaryota; Metazoa; Cnidaria; Anthozoa; Scleractinia; Pocilloporidae
Source: RefSeq, a predicted model, not a curated record